UUUUACAUUUGAGAUUUCAAUGAUUUUUAUUUUUCUUAAGCCCACUAGUAUUCUCUAACUAUAUGCCAAGAUCAUAUGAGAUAAAUAUUUCUAUAAAUUUAAUAAAUGAUGCAUUCAUAAAUUGAUUAAACUUCCCAAACCAGAAAUUUAUCACCGUUUUACUAAAGCAAAGCAUUUUUAUUUCAUAUGCUGUGUGCAUACGUGUACGUACAGGACACUAGAAGGAGAAAAACACUUGGGGAUUUUGCUUCACUUAGAGAAGAGGUAUCUUCCUUUGAGUCUGAGGAGUGGAAAUGGUGACAACGAGACACUCGUGGAUAAGAACUGUCCCCUUCUGCCGGGUGCAUCUCCAGAAGAAUGGACCUGAAAGCUUGUCAGGUGGACUUGAAGACGUCGUCAUGCUGCACUGACAUCCUGUGAGACUCAGGGCCAGCAGCUGUCCUGUUCUCUGAUGGAGCAGCCAUGAGGGAGCCCCCACACAACAGGGACACCGCCCCGUGCAGGCUCCCCGAGCGUGGGGACGACUGUUCCUCCUCAACAGAGGUGCUAAACGGUGCAGAACAUCGUAUAUUUAAGCACAUUCUCUUCUCAUCUCCAUCUGUAUGGCAAUCCAAUUCAUUGUUUGGCAGUUACAUUUCCUGAAAUCAAGAGAGACGGGGCCUGGCAGGUGACGAGGAUGCUGCGGGAAUGUGCAGGGGUGCAGACCUUCCUGGGAGGUGUCUGAGGUCAGUUUGUGGACGACGGGGAGACCUGUGCAGGACAGGGGAGCUCUGCCACUCACCACCUGUGUCAUCUGGGAACAGGCACUCAGCUUCUCUGUGCCUCAGUUUCCUCAUCUGAAGUGCAGAAGCCACGGCUGCACAUUGCUCGUGGUGCCGUGAGGGCAGGAAGAACUCCUGCAUGCUCAGACACGCCUGGCUUGGAGAAGGGCUGUGUGAGGGUGAUCGCUAUCAUUGUCGUCAUUUGCACAGUGGUCGGGCGCCGAGGCCUCAGACCAAGAAGCUGGGUCUAGGCUUUGUUCUGGCUCUGACAGCAACCCGCUGUGUGACCGUGGACAAGUGGUUUACACUCUCUGUGUCUCAGGGCCCCAUCUGCAAGUGGAUGUAAUAACCGCACCAACCCCAGAGGGUUGCCCUGAGAAUAAAGACAGUGAUACACACCGUGUCCCAACAAUAGUGCCACACACCGUGAAGCGCUCAGUGAAUGCAGCCUGUGUUGCUUCUUAUUAAACUUUCGGGUCCAGAUGACGUUAUUCGAGCUCAGUACUUCAUUCUCCCAUCACCGGGUGACUUGGAACUGAUGCUGAGAUGCGGCCAUUCUCUAGGCGUAGCACAGGUCUACAUGGGCCCUCCUCAACUCCGUGCGCUUGUGUGUUCCAAUGCCGUGCUCCACUCAGGGGUCACGGCAGCAGGCUGGCGGAGUGGACCGAGCAUGGACACUGCAGCAAGCAGACGGGAGUUUGGAGCCCUUCCUUCUAACCUUCCCCCUAACCGCUCAGUCUCAGGUUUCUUCUUCUGUAAGAUGGGCACAGCAGCCUCUAACCCUCAGUCGGUUGUCAGAAUGUGGAGACAUUAUUUGUGAUGUGACUUGGUGGAGUCCUCGGAAGAGCAACUUUAAACAAGUGUCUGUUGCUCCCUCCACGGAAAGGCUGUCACCGAGUCCCUGCUGGGAUGUUGCCACCGUGGUCCCAGGAGGCGUUAGAGCUGGGGUUUGGUUAGAGCUGGGUCACAGAUGGGCUGUACACAGCCUGUCUCCCACUCUGAGUAAUCGUGCUGACUGUUCCAGGGCGAGGGCCACCCUCCUCUCUGCCCCCGCCGCCUGGGCACGCUGACCCGGGGUCAGCAUCCAUCACUCCGUGGCAGGACCCUCCCCAAACCCCGAGCACCCAGAGGGCGGACGCAGUGUUGUCAACUAAGCACGGAAGCGUUAGGAAAUCACACUCUGUGACUGCUGGUGUUCCCCGGGGAUUUGGUCCAUUUUGUCUUCAAAUGCUACGCUGAAAAGCGACGUUCUACAGCCACCUGCUGUUCUGAAUAAGUACGUAUUUUUUCAAUUUUGAUUCUGAGAAUGUUUUCCUUUAUUUUUUCAUAGCAUUUCAGAGCUAUAAGUUUUCUUACAGUCCAUUUUCCAGCCACUUCAACAGUAGACGAGCACACUGAGGCGCAGACAGGCCGGGUCUACAGGUGGCUGUGACAGCCGUUCAUUCGUCCACGUGGUCACCAAACGGUCACCUCACUCCUGCAUUAGGAAAGGUGCUGUGAGAGAGAAGAGACAGCUGAGCGGUGUGAGGUGGGUGGAGGUGGUGGAUGGGACUGGAGAAGCUGAUGGGCAGCACAUGGGCGGACCUGUGUGUCGCUUUAGGGGUCUCCGCUCGAUCUCAGAGGUGGGGAGGGUCAGCGAGGGGGCGUGAGGGAGACUGCCAGGGUCAGGUCCCAUGCGGCUGGACCAUUUCAGCAUCUCUGCAGGAGGGAGCGUCUAGAACUGGAGACGGGAGGGCGGUCAGGAGGCAGCUGUGGCAGCGGCGCCAGGCGGGGCGGCAGGGCGAGGUAGAGUCUGUGCUGAAGGAACAGACGGGAGGUAAAGCAGGGGGCACAACUUCCAGCUACGGGGCUUAGACUGGACAUGAAAGUGUUAAGGACGACCUCGGAGGAGUUUUAAUUUCGGUGACAGAGAUGAUGGAGGUGUGACUGAGGCUGCAGAAAGAAGACAAUGGUUCAGGAGAAAAGAAGGCAGUUUGAAUUCUGCAGUGGCUGAGGUCAAAGUGUUUGGGGGAGAAGCCAGGUGGUGCCAAGUGCUGGAAGUUGACUAGAACAUUCUGAAGCAUAGAAAAGUAUGGGCUAAAGGUACAUAUUAGCAAGUCACAAGGGUAUAGCAUGGAUUGAAAUCAUGAAAGAGGAUGACAUAACAGAAAGAAAAGGUAUAGAAUGGCUAGAAGAAUCGUUCAUGGAAAGAACCCCGGGGAUGCCAACACUGGGUGAGAGGGCAGAGGAAGACCAGCCCCAGACGGAUAAAGGGGAGGAUGGAUGGAGAGAUUCAAGGAGAACCUAAGAGAAGGAAAAAAAUCCCUGACAGCUGGUGGUUGGCCUGGCAACCAGGCGCCAGGCCAUGAUGAUCUGAUGCUGAGACAAUGGGUUCCACCAAAUAUCCACAUCAGACAAGCCACCUGUAAUCACGGCAGAGCGAGACAAAACCAAGACCACUGAACAGCCGUAGCUGAGCCCAGAGAAGACAAACACCACAACCACAAGACAAGAUGUGGCCUUUCCUGAUGCAACAUGACUCAGCGCCAGCACCCACUUCCUCGAGCCCUCUCCAGAACCGCCUGACAUAAGCCUACAGCUUAUUUCAGGGCCCCGCUAACCCUCUCACAUCCCCAGGGUCUCCGUGAUGUGCAGGCUCCCUCUCUCGUUCAAGUGAGGUGACAGCGGCACACACCUCAUCAGAUGGACGUGACACACUGACAGCUCGAGGUGAACUCCCCGCAAACGUCAGGUAGCUGGUACCACAGUUGUGACUAGACCUUCUCUAGAUGGGAGAGCAAAGUAACUACAAAUUUUCAUCAUUAAAUUAUAUAUUUAUGUAUUUUUGUUUGUAAUAUUCAUUGCUUUUAUAACCAUAAACCCCCCAAAUUCAUAAACAUAAAAACUUUUCAGGUACAAUCCACAUUGCCAAGGGCCCUGCAAUCCCUCCGUUUCCCAGCAGGGGGAACUGUCUGCUCCCCAUAACCCUCAUUUCAGGACCAGGCUGGACGAGCUGCGCGUGUCCAAGAUGACAACGAUUUACGCUGAUACCCAUCUAUGGAACUAGCCCCUUGCAAACGUGAAAGGGCCCCUUUCCAAUCUUAUUAAAGUGGAAAACCUGCGUGAAAAUCGUCGUCGUCGUCGUCCUCAACCCCCACGUUGUGGCUCGCUCUGCAGGCAGCAUCCCAGCUCUGUUAAUAGUCAUUACAACACCAUGGGGUGAGGAAACUGAGGCACGAAGUUGGGCGGCCCAGUGUCGCACAGCCGGCGUGAGGAAGCAUCUGCACCGGGCGUCUGGUUCCACAGCCUGCGGCUCCUGCGUGGGUGGGCAUCGCUGGACCCCAACCAGGGCGCUGGAGUCUCUUCCAGAAAUUCGGAGCCCUUUCUCUGCCUUCACCUCAGCAUCAAUGAGCCCUUUUCCUCAAACCCACUGGAACGAGAAAUUAUAUCUAGUCCAAAAUUAUGCAGAGAUAUGAGAACACCCGUGAAGCGCUCAUUUUGUCUGAAAACACUUAUGAUCAGCACUCUAUUUGGUCUGUAAGAAUGUGGGGUUUUUUUUUCUCACAAAUAUGUUAUCUCAGCUAAUUAAACACGUAUUUUCAUUGCUUUGACCAGCUGAGGGCGCAUUUU
RNAcentral lists this long non-coding RNA (4370 nucleotides) under Equus caballus (horse). Its description in RNAcentral is "lncRNA (ENSECAG00000044848.1)". The record is from RNAcentral. Lineage: Eukaryota; Metazoa; Chordata; Mammalia; Perissodactyla; Equidae.